GACGAACGCUGGCGGCGUGCUUAACACAUGCAAGUCGAACGAAGUGGCGAACGGGUGAGUAACGCGUAAUCAACCUGCCCUUCAGAGGGGGACAACAGUUGGAAACGACUGCUAAUACCGCCUAAUGAAGGAGGGGAUUUCGUGUGAUUGGCUAGUUGGAGGGGUAACGGGCCACCAAGGCGAUGAUCAGUAGCCGGGCUGAGAGGAGGAACGGCCAAAUUGGGACUGGGACACGGCCCAGACUCCUACGGGAGGCAGGAGGGGGGAAUCUUCCGCAAUGGGCGGAAGUCUGACGGAGCAACGCCGGGGGGGGGAUGGCGGCCUUCGGGUUGUAAAGCUCUGUUAAUCGGGACGCGGUACCGGAAUAGAAAGCCACGGCUAACUACGUGCCAGCAGCCGCGGUAAUAC
RNAcentral lists this ribosomal RNA (408 nucleotides) under uncultured bacterium. Its description in RNAcentral is "partial 16S ribosomal RNA". It matches the Rfam family "Bacterial small subunit ribosomal RNA", at positions 28 to 526 of the family's 1533-position model. The record is from RNAcentral.